Molecule: ribosomal RNA, 277 nt
Filed under: uncultured bacterium
Lineage: Bacteria
Description: partial 16S ribosomal RNA
Rfam family: Bacterial small subunit ribosomal RNA
Source: RNAcentral
GAUAAACGCUGGCGGCGUGCCUAACACAUGCAAGUCGAACGCGCUCUGCCCGCAAGGGCAGAGGGAGUGGCGGACGGGUGAGUAAGACAUGGGUGACCUAUCCCCCAGUGAGGAAUACCACCGGGAAACCGGUGACAAUACCGCAUAGGCUCGCGCUUUCAUCGGUGCGAGCAAAGCUCCGCCAGGAGCGCUGGAGGAGGGGCUCAUGGCCGAUUAGCUAGCUGGUGGGGUAAGGGCCUACCAGGGCGACGAUCGGUAGCUGGUCUGAGAGGACGAG